GUCUUUUUGAGUUUAAUUUAAAGUCUAAUCUGCCCACUGAUAAUUAUUUAAGGGCCGCAGUAUUCUGACUGUGCAAAGGUAGCAUAAUCAUUAGUCUUUUAAUUGAGGGCUUGUAUGAAUGAUUGGACGAGAUAUAAUCUGUCUCAUAAAAAUUUAAAUAGAAUUUUAUUUUUUAGUUAAAAAGCUAAAAUAAAUUUAAAAGACGAGAAGACCCUAUAGAUCUUUAUAAUUAAUUAAUUAAUUUUUUUAGGUUAUUUUUUAAUUUAAUUAAUGAAAUUAUUUUGUUGGGGUGACAAUGAAAUUUAAUGAACUUUCAUUAUUUAAAACCAUUGAUUUAUGAAUAAUUGAUCCAUUAUUAUUGAUUAAAAAUUUAAGUUACCUUAGGGAUAACAGCGUAAUUAUUUUGGAGAGUUCUUAUCGAUAAAAUAGUUUGCGACCUCGAUGUUGGAUUAAGAUUAAUUCUGGGUGUAGCAGUUCAGUUUAUUAAGUCUGUUCGACUUUUAAUUUCUU
RNAcentral lists this ribosomal RNA (510 nucleotides) under Hercostomus parvilamellatus. RNAcentral describes it as "partial 16S ribosomal RNA". It matches the Rfam family "Bacterial large subunit ribosomal RNA", at positions 1829 to 2597 of the family's 2925-position model. Lineage: Eukaryota; Metazoa; Arthropoda; Insecta; Diptera; Dolichopodidae. The record is from RNAcentral.